This 22-nucleotide non-coding RNA is filed under the name Mus musculus (house mouse). Lineage: Eukaryota; Metazoa; Chordata; Mammalia; Rodentia; Muridae. The record is from RNAcentral.
UGCAGUCCAGUGAGGCCAAGUG